Non-coding RNA from Triticum aestivum (bread wheat), 136 nucleotides. The record is from Rfam. NCBI's taxonomy places the organism in Eukaryota, Viridiplantae, Streptophyta, Magnoliopsida, Poales, Poaceae.
AUAGUACUCCCUCCGUCCCAAAAUUCUUGUCUUAGAUUUAUCUAGAUACGGAUGUAUCUAACGCUAAAAAUGUGAAUAGAUAUAUCCGUAUGUAGACAAAUCUAAAACAAGAAUUUUGGGACAGAGGGAGUAAGUU